RNAcentral lists this transfer RNA (19 nucleotides) under Ischnopsyllus octactenus. RNAcentral describes it as "partial tRNA-Leu". The record is from RNAcentral. Lineage: Eukaryota; Metazoa; Arthropoda; Insecta; Siphonaptera; Ischnopsyllidae.
ACGCCCACUUUUGUUAGAA